RNAcentral lists this ribosomal RNA (168 nucleotides) under Priolepis fallacincta (false-girdled reefgoby). Its description in RNAcentral is "partial 12S ribosomal RNA". The record is from RNAcentral. Lineage: Eukaryota; Metazoa; Chordata; Actinopteri; Gobiiformes; Gobiidae.
CACCGCGGUUAUACGAGAGACCCAAGUUAACAGAACCCGGCGUAAAGCGUGAUUAAUAUAACUGUCUGCUAAAGUCGAACGCCCCCUAUGCUGUUAUACGCAACCGGAGGUAAGAAGCCCAUUAACGAAAGUGACUUUAACCCAUAUGAAUUCACGAAAGCUACGAAA